Molecule: ribosomal RNA, 468 nt
Filed under: uncultured bacterium
Lineage: Bacteria
Description: partial 16S ribosomal RNA
Rfam family: Bacterial small subunit ribosomal RNA
Source: RNAcentral
GACGAACGCUGGCGGCGGGCUUAACACAUGCAAGUCGAACGGAAAGGCCCUGCUUUUGUGGGGAGCUCGAGUGGCGAACGGGUGAGUAACACGUGAGUAACCUGCCCUUGACUUUGGGAUAACUUCAGGAAACUGGGGCUAAUACCGGAUAGGAGCUCCUGCUGCAUGGUGGGGGUUGGACAGUUUCGGCGGUUGGGGAUGGACUCGCGGCUUAUCAGCUUGUUGGUGGGGUAGUGGCUUACCAAGGCUUUGACGGGUAGCCGGCCUGAGAGGGGGACCGGCCACAUUAGGACUGAGAUACGGCCCAGACGCCUACGGGAGGCAACGGUGGAGAAUAUUGCACAGUGGGCGGGGGCCUGAUGCAGCGGCGCCGCGUGCGGGAAGCCGGCCUUCGGGUUGUAAACCGCAUUCACCUAAGACGAAGCGUGAGUGACGGUAAUGGGUGAAGAAGCACCGGCUAACUACGUG